Molecule: ribosomal RNA, 325 nt
Filed under: Haemonchus contortus (barber pole worm)
Lineage: Eukaryota; Metazoa; Nematoda; Chromadorea; Rhabditida; Trichostrongylidae
Description: eukaryotic LSU rRNA
Rfam family: Eukaryotic large subunit ribosomal RNA (bases 255-325)
Source: RNAcentral
UACGUUUGGUUCAGGGUUGUUAACCAUAUACUACAAUGUGGCUAAUUUCAACAUUGUUUGUCAAAUGGCAUUUGUCUUUUAGACAAUUCCCAUUUCAGUUCAAGAACAUAUACAUGCAACGUGAUGUUAUGAAAUUGUAACAUUCCUGAAUGAUAUGAACAUGUUGCCACUAUUUGAGUGUACUCAGCGAAUAUUGAGAUUGACUUAGAUAGUGACUUGUAUGGCGACGAUGUUCUUUUAUCAUUUGUAUAAUGCAACCUGAGCUCAGGCGUGAUUACCCGCUGAACUUAAGCAUAUCAUUUAGCGGAGGAAAAAAAACUAAAAA